Molecule: long non-coding RNA, 841 nt
Organism: Brassica oleracea var. oleracea
Lineage: Eukaryota; Viridiplantae; Streptophyta; Magnoliopsida; Brassicales; Brassicaceae
Exons: 2
Source: RefSeq, a predicted model, not a curated record
ACUAGGAGCAAAAAAGACCAAAAACCUAAACACCAAGAAGAAAGAAGAAACAACAUUGGAAGAUCAGAAGACAUAACAUUAACAUUUAAACACAAGCACAAAAGAUACUACAGCAUUGCCGAAUGGGUUCAGAGCUUUUGAUAAAAUAUGAGACCACGCUCGGUAGAAAUCGGCUUGCCCAUAACGCUACUCCAAAAGAUUGACACCGACCACACACAGCUUUGCAUAGACCGGCUGAAGGAAUCAAGCCGCCAACUACCACUGGUAAAGGAGCUUGAGACCCGAGCUAAGAACCUCUACUUGUAUCAAGCACACUAGAGCGCCAAUCUGGCUUGACGUUCCAGGACCACCAAAGUCACACUUAUGCUUGGCUCCAGAACAUAGUGCGAGCAGAUGCAAGAAGACAGGGAGCGAUGAUAGUCACAUCCUGAGCCGCUCGCCCAAACCUACAAUAUAGAGAUCGAUCAGCCCUCCAUUGGUGACCAAGCGACCAGACAAUGGAGCUGUGAUGGCCAAUCAGCACAUGAGUCUCCUUCAAGAAAAUAGAGCUUCGAGACUCAAAUGCCCUGCAAGGCUAUCGAAUGGAUGAAGAGGAUCCUGAUUCCAAGAGUUUGCAAAUCCAGUUUUCCAGAAGCCCAGGUCUAAGACCAGGGGCAACGUGAAGAAAGGAGGUGAUGAGUUGAGAUACUUUUGAGGCAAAUCAACCAAAAUAGUAACUUAUUGUUUUCUCUAGAGCCUAAUAUUCAGAUCCUUAGUAGCACUCACUCAAAGCUAUAGAGAUGUAUGAAUAGACACAAAAGUCCAGGAGUUGAGUUUAUUGGAAUCUAAACUUAGACACUGU